AUUGAACGCUGGCGGCAUGCCUUACACAUGCAAGUCGAACGGCAGCAUAGGAGCUUGCUCCUGAUGGCGAGUGGCGAACGGGUGAGUAAUAUAUCGGAACGUGCCCUAGAGUGGGGGAUAACUAGUCGAAAGACUAGCUAAUACCGCAUACGAUCUACGGAUGAAAGUGGGGGAUCGCAAGACCUCAUGCUCCUGGAGCGGCCGAUAUCUGAUUAGCUAGUUGGUGGGGUAAAAGCCUACCAAGGCGACGAUCAGUAGCUGGUCUGAGAGGACGACGGGCCACACUGGGACUGAGACACGGCCCAGCCUCCUACGGGAGGCAGCAGUGGGGAAUUUUGGACAAUGGGGGCAACCCUGAUCCAGCAAUGCCGCGUGAGUGAAGAAGGCCUUCGGGUUGUAAAGCUCUUUUGUCAGGGAAGAAACGGUAGUAGCUAAUAUCUAUUACUAAUGACGGUACCUGAAGAAUAAGCACCGGCUAACUACGUGCCAGCAGCCGCCGUAA
RNAcentral lists this ribosomal RNA (502 nucleotides) under uncultured bacterium. Its description in RNAcentral is "partial 16S ribosomal RNA". It matches the Rfam family "Bacterial small subunit ribosomal RNA", at positions 30 to 523 of the family's 1533-position model. The record is from RNAcentral.